CGUGAAGCGGAGCAAAUCUCAAAAACCGGUCCCAGUUCGGAUUGUAGGCUGCAACUCGCCUACAUGAAGUCGGAGUUGCUAGUAAUCGCGGAUCAGAAUGCCGCGGUGAAUGCGUUCCCGGGUCUUGUACACACCGCCCGUCACACCAUGGAAGUUGGGGGCGCCCGAAGUUGCCUAAGAAAUAAGGUACCUAAGGCGAAACCAAUGACUGGGGUGAAGUCGUAACAAGGUAAC
This 234-nucleotide ribosomal RNA is filed under the name uncultured bacterium. RNAcentral's name for it is "partial 16S ribosomal RNA". It matches the Rfam family "Bacterial small subunit ribosomal RNA", at positions 1256 to 1500 of the family's 1533-position model. The record is from RNAcentral.